UACGUAGGGUGCGAGCGUUGUCCGGAAUUAUUGGGCGUAAAGAGCGUGUAGGCGGCCAUGUAGGUCCGUUGUGAAAACUCGAGGCUCAACCUCGAGACGCCGAUGGAAACCAUGUGGCUAGAGUCCGGAAGAGGAGAGUGGAAUUCCUGGUGUAGCGGUGAAAUGCGCAGAUAUCAGGAAGAACACCCGUGGCUAAGGCGGCUCUCUAGUACGGUACUGACGCUGAGACGCGAAAGCGUGGGGAGCGAACAGG
Molecule: ribosomal RNA, 253 nt
Filed under: uncultured bacterium
Lineage: Bacteria
Description: partial 16S ribosomal RNA
Rfam family: Bacterial small subunit ribosomal RNA
Source: RNAcentral